RNAcentral lists this long non-coding RNA (510 nucleotides) under Capsella rubella. RNAcentral's name for it is "long non-coding RNA (CRUB_LNC001382)". Lineage: Eukaryota; Viridiplantae; Streptophyta; Magnoliopsida; Brassicales; Brassicaceae. The record is from RNAcentral.
GCAUGUCUCGUUCCAUCUUCUCUAUCUUCAUCAUCUUCUGAGCUAUCUUCUUCUCCAACCUGCUUGCAUUUAAUAACAUCACAAAACCACAGUUUAAGAGACAGUCUUUGUCUUCUAGUAUCUGGUAAGUGUUUUAGAGACAGUCUUUUUGUAGUAAGUGGAGGAAGGUUUAUUUUAUGUUUUACGUUUCUGGAGUUAUGUUCUUCGUUUUCUUCCCAUCAGAGCCUUCCAAUGGAGCUUUUCCCUUUUUAGCUCUCUCCAGAUUGGUUCUAAGUUCUUUUAGACCCUCCUACAUGUAUGUCAAGAUUAGAUGAUGAACCUUUCUUAAGUUUCAUCAUUAUGUUGGUUAUCUUAUAUACGCAGUUUUUUACCUUAAGCUCUUUGAUUUUUCCAGCCAAUCUCUCGAUUUGUGCACCGUGAGACUUUGAAACAGUACGCUGGUGAUUACAUAUUAUGGCUACCUCCUUGUUUGCUUGCUGAUAAACUACUACUUUCUGGUUAACAUCUCCG